Molecule: long non-coding RNA, 1069 nt
Organism: Homo sapiens (human)
Lineage: Eukaryota; Metazoa; Chordata; Mammalia; Primates; Hominidae
Gene: CLECL1P
Product: C-type lectin like 1, pseudogene
Source: Ensembl
CAAGACAUUACUGCUAUGCUGAUCACCUUUUUGCUGUACCUUCAAAUGGCAUUUCUUCAAUGUGUGUACAUCUCUGAUGUCUCUGUGUAUCCAAAUUUCUUCUUGUAAGGACAUUAUCAGAUUGGAUUAGGGCCCACCGCAAUGGCCUCACUAAAUCCAAUCUUUUUUGACAUAUGCAUAUAGAAGUUCCUAGACUUCAGUGCUGAGGAGACAGAGGCUACAGGCAUCCAUAUGUCUGUCUCUGGGGUCUUCUUAGGAAGAGGCCUCUGAUGAAGAGAACAAAGCUCUUGUUUGAUAUCCCAGCUUGAGCAAGAGGAAUGGGACAAGUUCGUGGCAGCCACCAGCCGCCAGGAGAUGGCUGAAGUAGACAAUCAAUUUCCAGGUUAUUGGGAAAUUCAAGACCAAUCAAUAGAAUUAUCUGGAGAUAAACUCUCUGGGACAGUGUUCAUCAAGUUGCAGUGCCCUGUUUGAGUCCGAGUUAGUGUUAGUCGGAGAUACAGUGAAGUCUAAGGAGGAUGAGGAAGAGUGAUUGGUGAUAGCAGAUAAAAGAAAAAUGAAUCAGUGGGAUAAAUGGAGAUGACCAAGUUUGGCGAGAAGACAAUACUAUGAGAGAAGGUGUCCAGAGACAGAGUGAGACACAGAUAUAGGAACAGGAUCCUGGGCCUUCCUGCUCCAGGAAAAGCAUGGAAAAGGCAAGUUGUGAGGGCAGAAGACAGUCCCACAAGAACAUGAAAUUCAGUCAUGCAAAGGGCUGGGAAGGCAGAAACACAGUGGUGAGAGUGAGCCAGAAAGGAGAUGUGGGGAGCAAGGACUCAUGGCAGAGAAGGCCCUGGUAACCAAGAUAAGAAAGUCAACUGUGAAGGUGAACUAAGAACACAUGAUGGAUGAGUGGAAACCAGGGGCCAGAAAGUCUUUGAAGGCAGAAGAUACAAGGCAAUUUGUGGGCAGGAGGGAAAAAAGUAGUGAAAAUGUGCAGGCCAAUGUGAGAGGGGCCUGUGAUGGCAGAGAGGAGGCCAAUGAUGUGAGUAAAAGGAGCACUGCAGGAACCGGACCCAGUGUGACGUUAUGA